AACCUUAUGGACCUGCGGGCGUAUACCUGCGGAAGGAUCAUUACACAUAUAAAAUAUACCUGGGAAAAUUCGAAAGAAAAGUACUCAGGCGUAUUCUUAUACCCAUGUCUUUUGCGUACUACUUGUUUCCUUGGUAGGCUUGCCUGCCAUUAGGACACCCACAAAAACCUUUUGUAAUUGCAAUCAGCGUCAGAAAAUAACUUAAUAGUUACAACUUUCAGCAACGGAUCUCAGAUCGGA
RNAcentral lists this unclassified non-coding RNA (240 nucleotides) under soil metagenome. RNAcentral describes it as "partial contains 5.8S ribosomal RNA, internal transcribed spacer 2, and large subunit ribosomal RNA". The record is from RNAcentral.